Molecule: long non-coding RNA, 445 nt
Organism: Bombus pascuorum
Lineage: Eukaryota; Metazoa; Arthropoda; Insecta; Hymenoptera; Apidae
Exons: 3
Source: RefSeq, a predicted model, not a curated record
AGGAGAUAGACGAGAGCGGAACGAGGAUGGAGCAACGAGACGAACGAAGUAUUAGCCGCGGGGUGGAGGAGGAUAGAGGAUCGAGCUGCUACGAGCAGGUUGUCCGGGUCAAGGAUCGCGACGACGUCCAGAAAAGAGAAAUCUAAAAAAGGAAAUGUAAAGCGAUUACAUAGCUUAGCGCAUGGGACGCAUGUAGCCGCUAGAAAGGUGGAAAAGGUCAGGAAAGGAAAUGCGUAAUACUCAAGGACACCAGGCUCGACGAUUUUCUACGCAGACACCCUCGAACCGGCAUCGGGGAAAACGAGACUCGUGCAACCAAUUCACCGUCUACCCGGCGCACACGAGUCGCAUAGGGUGUCUCCUCUGGUGAUGCUGAUGCACUACCUUUUACAGUUUCUUCGAGUUUGUUUCGGGUAUCGAGGGGGUAAGUUUUGCGGUGACGAAG